This 506-nucleotide ribosomal RNA is filed under the name uncultured bacterium. RNAcentral describes it as "partial 16S ribosomal RNA". It matches the Rfam family "Bacterial small subunit ribosomal RNA", at positions 29 to 523 of the family's 1533-position model. The record is from RNAcentral.
AGUGAACGCUGGCGGCAGGCCUAACACAUGCAAGUCGAACGGCAGCACAGGAGAGCUUGCUCUCCGGGUGGCGAGUGGCGGACGGGUGAGGAACACAUCGGAAUCUACCUUGUCGUGGGGGAUAACGUAGGGAAACUUACGCUAAUACCGCAUACGAACUAUGGUUGAAAGCGGCGGACCGCAAGGCGUCGCGCGAUUGGAUGAGCCGAUGUCCGAUUAGCUAGUUGGCGGGGUAAAGGCCCACCAAGGCGACGAUCGGUAGCUGGUCUGAGAGGAUGAUCAGCCACACUGGAACUGAGACACGGUCCAGACUCCUACGGGAGGCAGCAGUGGGGAAUAUUGGACAAUGGGGGCAACCCUGAUCCAGCCAUGCCGCGUGUGUGAAGAAGGCCUUCGGGUUGUAAAGCACUUUUGUUGGGGAAGAAAAGCGGUCGGUUAAUACCCGAUUGUUCUGACGGUACCCAAAGAAUAAGCACCGGCUAACUUCGUGCCAGCCGCCGCUGUAA